GUUGCCUCAAACCCUUUGUAAAAUAAUCUUUAGAGCAUUAAAUCAAAGGAAAGGAAUUGCUCUUCAUAAAGCCGGUAAAUACCAUAGAAAGUUCUAGGAGCCCAGGGCAAGUAUUUCUUGAAAACAAUGUUCAUAUAUGUAUAUGUUCCCUUGGCUCUUCUUGGAAAGCACUCGUUCCUCUUUGUUGUUGUUUCCAAAGCCAAUAGAAUGGGCAAAAUAAUCGAAUUAACGCUACUUUUUUUGCAAAAUAGCUUAAGAAACGAUAUUGAGACUUUAUUGGCCUCAAUAUUAUAAAAGGAAUUUCCUGGAAGCUUCAAUCCCAGUGGCAUACGCACUAAUCACACUAAAUACAAAGAAGACCAUAAAUUUAUGUGGUCCCAGUAUAAACCAA
Stomoxys calcitrans (stable fly) is the source of this 391-nucleotide long non-coding RNA. RefSeq lists it as uncharacterized. The record is from RefSeq and is a predicted model, not a curated record. The transcript is spliced from 2 exons. NCBI's taxonomy places the organism in Eukaryota, Metazoa, Arthropoda, Insecta, Diptera, Muscidae.